RNAcentral lists this unclassified non-coding RNA (648 nucleotides) under Hevea brasiliensis (rubber tree). The record is from RNAcentral. Lineage: Eukaryota; Viridiplantae; Streptophyta; Magnoliopsida; Malpighiales; Euphorbiaceae.
GAUCAUCAUCGACACUGACCCUGGCGUUGAUGACGCCAUGGCAAUAUAUCUUGCGUUGAGAUCACCUGAAGUGGAGGUGAUUGGACUGACUACCAUUUAUGGGAACGUUUAUACCACUCUGGCUACCAGGAAUGCAUUGCAUUUGUUGGAGGUUGCGGGGAGGACUGACAUCCCAGUGGCUGAGGGAUCUCAUGUCACGAUAACGAAAGGUACAAAACUUCGCAUUGCUGAUUUUGUCCAUGGCGUUGAUGGACUUGGCAACCAAAAUUUUCCACCACCAAAAGGAAAGCCAAUUGAACAGUCAGCAGCCGCUUUUCUGGUUGAGCAGGCAAAUCUGCACCCUGGAAAAGUCACUGUGGUGGCAUUGGGCCCACUUACAAAUAUUGCUCUGGCUAUUGAAUUAGAUCCUGCAUUUGUCAAAAACAUUGGGCAGAUUGUUCUUCUUGGUGGUGCAUUCUCAGUAAAUGGGAAUGUGAAUCCAGCAGCAGAGGCAAAUAUUUUUGGUGAUCCGGAUGCUGCUGAUAUUGUUUUCACCAGUGGAGCAGAUGUUAUAGCUGUGGGGAUUAAUGUUACUCAUCAAGUUGUUUUGACAGAUGCUGAUCGAGACAAAUUGGUGCAGUCAAAUGGAAAGUUUGCUCAGUACUUGGC